CCGUCACCGUCGCCUUCAUACUGCUGCCUGUCAUCUCGUUUGGAGCAUACCGAAUAGUUUCCCGAUUCUACAUGCUUUCAUUGUAGCACGUGAAAUGUACUUCAGUCGACGGAUUUGCUCAAGAAUCUCACAGGGCAUACUACUGUCUUUGCCUGUACUACAUCAUAAUAUUCAGCGGAGAACUUAGCGUCUAACAGUGUGUUCCUCGGCUACAGAAUUUACAAGUCACAGAGAGAGACAAGCGAGAACUCAGCGACCAAGCGGACACAAUCGGAUGAAACGAACAAGAAAAGGAGAUAAAUGUUCAAUUCUGGAAGAGAAAUUAAAGUAAGCAUAUUUUGGAAAAUUCGAUUUGCUAGUUUUGGGACACAAAGAGAAGUAGUGACUUCUGCAAGAGAAGAAAGGGGCGAUUAGCAUACAGUGACAAAUGAUGAGUCAAACAAUGUUCACUAGGGUAUUUUUAAUAUAUACGUUUUUUAUUUCCUUGCAAUUCUGUAAUAAUUUUUGUUCUUAUGUACCACACUUUACAUUACUAUGCAUUGCUCGUAGUAAGUUA
Long non-coding RNA from Schistocerca piceifrons (Central American locust), 556 nucleotides. RefSeq lists it as uncharacterized. Lineage: Eukaryota; Metazoa; Arthropoda; Insecta; Orthoptera; Acrididae. The record is from RefSeq and is a predicted model, not a curated record. The transcript has 3 exons.